GAUGAACGCUGGCGGCGUGCCUAAUACAUGCAAGUCGAGCGAACAGACGAGGAGCUUGCUCCUCUGACGUUAGCGGCGGACGGGUGAGUAACACGUGGAUAACCUACCUAUAAGACUGGGAUAACUUCGGGAAACCGGAGCUAAUACCGGAUAAUAUAUUGAACCGCAUGGUUCAAUAGUGAAAGACGGUUUUGCUGUCACUUAUAGAUGGAUCCGCGCCGCAUUAGCUAGUUGGUAAGGUAACGGCUUACCAAGGCAACGAUGCGUAGCCGACCUGAGAGGGUGAUCGGCCACACUGGAACUGAGAAACGGUCCAGACUCCUACGGGGGGCAGCAGUAGGGAAUCUUCCGCAAUGGGCGAAAGCCUGACGGAGCAACGCCGCGGGAGUGAUGAAGGUCUUCGGAUCGUAAAACUCUGUUAUUAGGAAGAACAAAUGUGUAAGUAACUAUGCACGUCUUGACGGUACCUAAUCAGAAAGCCACGGCUAACUACGUG
RNAcentral lists this ribosomal RNA (496 nucleotides) under uncultured bacterium. RNAcentral's name for it is "partial 16S ribosomal RNA". It matches the Rfam family "Bacterial small subunit ribosomal RNA", at positions 28 to 507 of the family's 1533-position model. The record is from RNAcentral.